UAGGGAAUCUUCCACAAUGGACGAAAGUCUGAUGGAGCAACGCCGCGUGAGUGAAGAAGGUCUUCGGAUCGUAAAACUCUGUUGUUAGAGAAGAACACGAGUGAGAGUAACUGUUCAUUCGAUGACGGUAUCUAACCAGCAAGUCACGGCUAACUACGUGCCAG
Molecule: ribosomal RNA, 164 nt
Filed under: uncultured bacterium
Lineage: Bacteria
Description: partial 16S rRNA
Rfam family: Bacterial small subunit ribosomal RNA
Source: RNAcentral